This 76-nucleotide transfer RNA is filed under the name Spirochaetaceae bacterium. Its description in RNAcentral is "tRNA-Thr". It matches the Rfam family "tRNA". From Rfam's summary of the family: Transfer RNA (tRNA) molecules are approximately 80 nucleotides in length. Their secondary structure includes four short double-helical elements and three loops (D, anti-codon, and T loops). The record is from RNAcentral. Lineage: Bacteria; Pseudomonadati; Spirochaetota; Spirochaetia; Spirochaetales; Spirochaetaceae.
GCCCUUGUAGCUCAGUUGGCAGAGCACGUCCAUGGUAAGGACGGGGUCAUCGGUUCAAAUCCGAUCGAGGGCUCGA